Mustela lutreola (European mink) is the source of this 4552-nucleotide long non-coding RNA. RefSeq lists it as uncharacterized. The transcript is spliced from 4 exons. Lineage: Eukaryota; Metazoa; Chordata; Mammalia; Carnivora; Mustelidae. The record is from RefSeq and is a predicted model, not a curated record.
GUGAGUGACAGGGCGGAGACGAGUCGGCUGGCGCCGCAUCAUCGAGGGGCGGGGCGGCCCCGUCGCGCUCCGUCCCGCCUCCCCGCGCUCCUGGCGCCGCCCGCCCGCCGGCCGCGCCCUCCCUCCGGAGCUGCACCUUCCUACGCAACCAGAAGGAAAUUGUGAGUUCAUGGUGCCAUCCAGCCACAACUCCCAUACUUCAUUUGGGAGACAUUGAAAAAAUUACAGCAGACAUGGUUUCUAAAUAAAGAGUUUUGGAAGAGAGGCAAAGAGACCUGGGUAUAUCUUGUGCAAGAAAAGUUUUCACAAGUGGCUGCACCAGCUUGCAUUCCCACCAACAGUGGAGGAGGAACAAAACCUUUUUUUAAAAAUAAAUAGCCCUGAAGGAGGGCCAGAGAAUAUUGGAAACCUGUUCCCCAAGAAGAGGAUGGACACGCAAGACAUCCAAAUCCAAGUUUUCCUCAAUUUAUCAACUGCUAUUUUUUCCCCUCCCUAAAUGGACAUUUGUGAAUUCAUUUGGAACUUAGAAGAAACUAUUUCUAGGGAAAGAAUGUUAAAGAUGGUAGUUUGGUUUCUAGCAGGGCUUGUAAACCUACUAACCCUCAUGUAGCCACACCGAAAAAUUCUAGUUCCCUGCUGUUCCUGAGGGAAAACAGCAACAUUCCACCCUGCAACCCAGGAUGCUGGAAUAUCUCCCUAUUUCCCAAACUGCUGUCCACCACAACUGCCCAGUUUGGAAAGUAGGCAUAAAAUGCUCCAGUAUCCUCUCCUACUGGGCCAACAGAGAAAGACAAUUGUUUUCCUCAUAGUGACAAAAGAAACAAGAAUUCUCAGAUAGCCAAUGUGAACAGGAAGGGGGCAAUGACUCACAUAUUAGGGAUGUUCCAAAGUUAGUUUUCAGGCUUGGGAAGGACCUAUACCCAGGAACUUGCUUCAUUUUCUUUCACAGUGAGUUUGUCAUUGCUGCCCCGUAUGUUUGGUUUAGUUUAAUAGAAAUAGCUGUGUCGCUUCUUGAUCAUGAGAGGUGGCAGGUGUUCUGACUCUUCUUUCUUGUGGGCAAAUAAUAGAACCUGUAAAACCCAGGCCACUCCCCUCCCCUAGCCCUUUGGCUUCCAUAAAGCCUCAAAGGAAAGGUCACUCUGGACAAUUGGAACUGAGGUACCAGAAACCGUGCACAAGUCCUACCAGCCACCUCACAGGAUUCUCUAAUGACAUGACCUAUGCACUGUCGCCUUUACAUUAGUCCAGCUACAACUAAAGCCAGAAAUAACUCUGACAUCCAUAAAAAAAUUUAAGGUUCAAAAUUCUUUCUCCAUCCCCACCCCACCAGUAUUAGCUUGUAGAUGAACUAGCUAAUGGUCACUCAUGACAUUUUUUUUUGCUGCAAAAUUAUUGGCUAAUUAUACCAAUUAUUGUAUUCAUAGCCUAUCAGACCAUGCUUUGAUCAUCUAGAGACAAAAAUGUUCCUUGGACUCCAUCCAUGGGGCAACAACUGGUGUCUGUUUUGAUUGUUCUUUCUGAAAACCCCAUUGCCAGUAGGGCUCAUCAUCAUCAUCGACCACUGAGGCUUGGCAUGGCUCCAGAAAGAACGAUUAGGGCACGGCAUCCAGAGUCCUCAGGAGAGGAAUUCCUGCUUGGCAACUCUCCCUUCUGAAGCAUUCAAAAAAAAAAAAAAAAAAAAAAACCGAAUAAUCACACAAACAUGUACUCUCCUCUCCAAAGAAUUAUCACCCUAUCUUUCCGAACCCUGGACAUUCUGAUUACAUGGGUAUACACACAUUGAAGUGAUAAAAGCCUCUCUCUGUUUUAGAGCGCCCUUCCCUGCAGACCACAUUACUUACAGAUCGCCAUGUUGAGGACAAUCCAGUAAGAUGUAAGGAUGUAUGGAGAAGCAAGGAAAUAUCUACAACUUGACAAAAUAUUCACAUAUCUAUGCUUUGGUUGAAUAAUUUAAGAUUCUUCCAAACCGUACAUGUAUCUUUACAUUUGAAAAUGUCCAGGGACCACCUGGCAUUAAAGCUUAAUCAUCUUUCAGAAAACUUUUUUCCAUAUAAGUCAAAGCUUAGUGAACUAUUAAAGUAACAUAAGCAUAAAAUGGAAUUGUCAAGAUCAUAUCAGAUAAUAUGAUGGUUGGAUUAAACUGUGCCUCAAAAAAUAACUGAAAACAUAUUUACAUUCUGUCAUUCCUCAGUACCUAUAUUACCUUUGAGUCAGUAAAUACAUGAUGACUGUUGAUGUUCAAAAGUGUUUCUGACUCUGCUGUAUUCACAGUAUUAUAAAUGCACUCAUCAUUAAAUUGUGGUUUUAAACAAUUUAGUAGUAUAAACUAUUACAGAUUUUUAUCUCUAAUGGUUCAUUUUUUCUCACAGUUUUGAUACACACAUCCUAUUUAUGGGAGGGCAUGAUAAUUCAGGUUAGAGGCAGAUUGAAACAAGAACCAUCUGUCCUUUUCCCCCCGUCUAAGUCCUUCUGUCAUAAUUAAUUGUUGUUUUAAAAAAAAAAAAGCGUACCACCUCUUUGCUGGUGUCUCGCAAGAGGUCAGCAGUCAUUGUCUUCUUUUAGAGUAAUGGUGCUUAAAAUAUUACAUGCUUUGUCCUCUGCGGCACUAAACACAUGACGUACUGUUGUGGUUCCAAAGCCUUCCCAUAGACUGAGAGAGACAGGUGGAAACCACUUUUGUGAAUGUCAGAGUCUAACAAAAUGGGGACAAAAUUUAAAAUGUUAGUUAAGACUGUUCCACUUUGUAUUAAGUAUUUCAGCUGUCUGCCUCAUGGGGAUGAAAAAGCAACUGAAGAAAAAAAAUAAACAUAUCAUGGUUAUAUUGAUAAAAAUUAGCUGUUAAAAAUCAUAAGAAAAAUACUGAUUUUACAUCAAGGUGUGUCAAUGCUUGACAGAAAAUAAGUUAAAAGCAUAAACCUACACUUCCUAAAGACUUCUGCCAUUCCUUAAUUUCAAAAUUAUCCCAGGAGAAACUGAAAGGAGCCAGAGCUAGGAUUUAAUAUUUUUAUUUAAUUUUUCUUAGAAGGAAAUUGAUUCUAGGAGGGACCAACAUGGUGGGGAUGGUAAUUGAGAAGAUGAAAGAUCUGCUCAGAGGUAUUGUGUUAUGAGCCCUGGAGGGGCUCCCAAAGGAUCUACAUCAACUCAAGUGGACGAUUCAUAAAAUUGUGUUACAGUCCUCAAAAACACUACCUGGGUAUUUAUUCAACCAGCAUGUUGUAAAUACCUUCUCUGUACCCAAAAUUGGAUAUAGAGAGGGGGCAAUGAGAUGCAAAAUUGAUAGCAGAUAUUGUUGCUGCUGUUUUUAAUCAUCAAGGAACUUUAAUCUAUUGGGCUCAGCCAUUAAAUCCAGAAUAAACCAAAUAAUAGAGACCUCCUCUAGUGCUGUGAUUUGGGGAACCACAAAGGAUCUCUCUUUCCCAGAAUAUCCUUUCCCUUAGUCUGCCCAUUUUUCUGAAGUCCUCCCUAUUAAAACCAAUCUUCAAGUUCAGGCUUUUUAUUUAGGUAAAGAUGUGGAACACACACAUACACAGAAUCCUUAUAAAGCCCCUAUUAUAAUAUAAUUAUGUUACUUCGAGGGCUCAUACAGUUAUCAGGUAACAUUUCAGUCUUGGCAUAGAGCAAAACAAGGUCCUGAGGUAGUGAAAUCUAAGACAGGAAACCAAAAUAUAGGUAAGGAAGGAAAAACAGAAUGGUCCAGAAUAAAAUGUGGGAAGUAGUUCAGGGGAAUUACAACAUCAAUAAAGUGAGUUCAAACUACAGGUCCAUAAUAUAGGGGCAUUUCAAUGCCACCGUGAUAAAGCUAAAACUCUACUUACAAAGAAUGAAAAGCUGAGAGGUUAUUAUCAAGAAGAGUGUGUUAGUAACGGGGCCAUAUAGUCUUCAGACUAGAUCAGAAGAGACAGAGACGGAAAUCAGGGAGCUCAGUGAAGACUAUGGACUUUUUCAAGAAUAUAGAGACAAAAUACUUGAAUUAGAUGGAGGUAUAAUAAGAAUAAAUUUUUAUUCUAAAUAAAUAUAAUGAACUGUAGUAACAGACUGGUUAUGAGAAUUGCGGGAAAGAGAGGCACUACCUCAUGACUUUUACUGGGAGGUAACGGGAAGUUGGUGAUGGCCUUGAAAGAUGCAAGGACGCUGGAAAGAAUACCCAGUUUGGCCACUGUUGGCUGCGUGGAAAGCUGGGGAUUGGCCAAUGUUACUCUAAACAACUCUAGUCAUAUGAUCGACUAGACAUUUCCUUUUGCCUUAUGACCCAGGACUAGAGAUUUCGUGAGAUAUGGGCCAAAGAAUCUGCAAGUCACAAAGAAUCCAAGCCUUGGGGUAGAUGACAAAGAGCAGAAAGCCAAGGGGACAGUGAAAGAGAAAGCAUGUGAGCAGUGGAGAGGGCAGGGGGAUAUGAAAAAGAGAGUGGAGCCCAAAGCAGGGCUUGAUCUCACGACCUCAUCACAACCACGAAAUCAUGACCUGCAUGGAAACCAAGAGCCCAUCGCUGAACAGACUAAGCCACCCAGGCACCCCAAGGAAAACAACUUUUAAAAAAUUUACUAAAUGAAUA